AGGACGAACGCUGGCGGCGUGCUUAACACAUGCAAGUCGAGCGGGGCCCUUCCUUCGGGAAGGUGCCCUAGCGGCGAACGGGUGAGUAACACGUGGGCAACCUGCCCCUAGCACUGGGAUAACUCCGGGAAACCGGGGCUAAAUACCGGAUAUGACCUCUGAGGGCAUCCUCUAAGGUGUAAAGGAUUCUGGCUAGGGAUGGGCCCGCGGCCUAUCAGCUUGUUGGUGGGUAAUGGCCUACCAAGGCGACGACGGGUA
This 258-nucleotide ribosomal RNA is filed under the name uncultured bacterium. Its description in RNAcentral is "partial small subunit ribosomal RNA". It matches the Rfam family "Bacterial small subunit ribosomal RNA", at positions 26 to 285 of the family's 1533-position model. The record is from RNAcentral.